This 72-nucleotide transfer RNA is filed under the name Eubacterium sp. RNAcentral's name for it is "tRNA-Phe". It matches the Rfam family "tRNA". Rfam says of the family: Transfer RNA (tRNA) molecules are approximately 80 nucleotides in length. Their secondary structure includes four short double-helical elements and three loops (D, anti-codon, and T loops). The record is from RNAcentral. Lineage: Bacteria; Bacillati; Bacillota; Clostridia; Eubacteriales; Eubacteriaceae.
GCCUUUGUAGCUUAGUGGUCUAAGCACCUGUCUGAAGAACAGGGGAUGAAGGUCCGAUUCCUUCCGAAGGCA